Molecule: ribosomal RNA, 492 nt
Filed under: uncultured bacterium
Lineage: Bacteria
Description: partial 16S ribosomal RNA
Rfam family: Bacterial small subunit ribosomal RNA
Source: RNAcentral
AGUGAACGCUGGCGGUAGGCCUAACACAUGCAAGUCGAACGGCAGCACAGUAAGAGCUUGCUCUUACGGGUGGCGAGUGGCGGACGGGUGAGGAAUACAUCGGAAUCUACUUUUUCGUGGGGGAUAACGUAGGGAAACUUACGCUAAUACCGCAUACGACCUACGGGUGAAAGCAGGGGAUCUUCGGACCUUGCGCGAUUGAAUGAGCCGAUGUCGGAUUAGCUAGUUGGCGGGGUAAAGGCCCACCAAGGCGACGAUCCGUAGCUGGUCUGAGAGGAUGAUCAGCCACCCUGGAUCUGAGACACGGUCCAGACUCCUACGGGUGGCAGCAGUGGGGAAUAUUGGACACUGGGCGCAUGCCUGCUCCAGCCCUACCGCGUCGGUGAAGAAGGCCUUCGGGUUGUAAAGCCCUUUUGUUGGGAAAGAUGAGCAGCAGGUUAAUACCCCACUGCUCUGACGGUACCCAAAGAAUAAGCACCGGCUAACUUCGUG